This 505-nucleotide ribosomal RNA is filed under the name uncultured bacterium. RNAcentral describes it as "partial 16S ribosomal RNA". It matches the Rfam family "Bacterial small subunit ribosomal RNA", at positions 28 to 507 of the family's 1533-position model. The record is from RNAcentral.
GACGAACGCUGGCGGCGUGCCUAAUACAUGCAAGUAGAACGCACAGUUUAUACCGUAGCUUGCUACACCAUAAACUGUGAGUUGCGAACGGGUGAGUAACGCGUAGGUAACCUGCCUGGUAGCGGGGGAUAACUAUUGGAAACGAUAGCUAAUACCGCAUAAUAUUGAUUAUUGCAUGAUAAUUGAUUGAAAGAUGCUAUUGCAUCGCUACCAGAUGGACUUGCGUUGUAUUAGCUAGUAGGUGAGGUAACGGCUCACCUAGGCGACGAUACAUAGCCGACCUGAGAGGGUGGUCGGCCACACUGGGACUGAGAAACGGCCCAGACUCCUACGGGAGGCAGCAGUAGGGAAUCUUCGGCAAUGGACGGAAGUCUGACCGAGCAACGCCGCGUGAGUGAAGAAGGUUUUCGGAUCGUAAAGCUCUGUUGUAAGAGAAGAACGGGUGUGAGAGUGGAAAGUUCACACUGUGACGGUAUCUUACCAGAAAGGGACGGCUAACUACGUG